AUGGCGAUGGUGACGCUCCCGAUUACCUGUCACCUCCACCUUUUCCUCUUCCUCUCUAGUAGCAUCGUCAUCGUCGUGGUCGCCGGCGUCGCGGCCACAGAGAGAGUCCCAAAUCCAAACAACACCACCGCCGGCAGCACGUCCGCCUGCCCGUCGUACCGGUGCGGGCACGCGGUGGACAUCCGGUACCCGUUCUGGAUCGACGGCGGGAACGGCAGUUUGAACGGCUCCCACCACUGCGGGUACCCGAGCCUGCGGCUGGAGUGCCGGCGCGACACGCCGGUGCUGCGGCUCCCGUCGGGCGACUACGCGGUGACGCACAUCCUGUACGGCGACCGCACGGUGUCCCUGUUCGACCUGGGCGUCUUCUCCCGGUCCAACACGUGCCCGCUCGUGGGCCGCAACCUCACCCUCCCGGACGGCUCGCCGCUGUCGCUGACGGCGAGGGACGCCAACCUGACCUUCUUCAUCCACUGCUCCUUCAUGGGCAUCCCGGCGGCGCACCAGGUGGCGUGCCUGGAGGGCGACGGGCGGCACCACUCGUACGUCUUCCGGGACGGCGACGACCUCACGCCGUACGGCUACGCCGGGCUGUGCCAGGACGUCGUGGGAAUGCCGGUGCUCAGGAGGUCCCUGCUCGGCAGGACGGGCGCGGCAUCCAGCGGCCCGCUGGACGCCGUCGUGCCGGCGCUGAACAUGGGGUUCGAGCUGAGCUGGAGGCCGGAGGCGAUGGGGGAGUGCGGCGGCUGCGAGAAAUCCGGCGGCCUGUGCGGUCACCGUCGGCAUGCGGCGCGAGAUGCAUGGACGUUCACGUGCUUCAGGACGGCAACGACGACUUCUGCAUGGGGCGCACCCAAAUCUUCAGGGGGGAGUACAAGGAUGAAAACAAUUUUCAUAAUAGUUGGAGCAGUACUCGGUGCUGGUGCAAUCUUUCUGUUCGUCUUCUUUGUCUUGCACCAACGAAAGAAGAAGAAACAAGCUAUAGCUUCAAAUGAGUUCAUGCGAAGUGGAUCUUCAAUGACGACAUACAGUAAAGACCUUGAGCUGGGUGGUUCUCCUCAUAUCUUCACUUUCGAGGAACUCGAAGUGGCUACUGAUGGAUUUAGUGCUUCAAGGGAGCUUGGUGAUGGUGGCUUUGGAACUGUUUAUAAAGGAAAACUCAAGGAUGGGAGAGUAGUUGCGGUGAAACGCCUUUACAAGAACAACUACAGACGGGUUGAGCAGUUCCUGAAUGAGGUCGACAUCCUGUCCCGCCUGCUCCACCAGAACCUGGUCAUCCUAUAUGGCUGCACGUCGCGAAUGAGCCGUGACCUUCUCCUGGUGUACGAGUUCAUCGCAAAUGGGACUGUCGCAGACCAUCUUCACGGAUCUCGCUCGGCGGAACGAGGCCUCACGUGGCCUCUAAGACUGAACAUUGCCAUAGAAACAGCUGAAGCACUGGCCUACCUCCAUGCAGUCGAGAUCAUACAUCGGGAUGUGAAGACAACCAACAUAUUGCUUGACAACAGCUUUCAUGUCAAAGUUGCAGACUUUGGGUUGUCGCGCCUGUUCCCGCUCGAGGUCACCCAUGUCUCGACCGUUCCACAGGGCACACCUGGCUACGUCGACCCCGUGUACCACCAGUGCUACAAGCUGACCGACAAGAGCGACGUUUACAGCUUUGGCGUUGUGUUGGUGGAGCUGAUAUCCUCAAAGCCUGCUGUGGACAUGAGCAGGAGCCACAGUGAGAUCAACCUGGCCAACAUGGCUCUCAACAGGAUUCAGAACCAUGAAGUUGUUCAGCUGGUUGAUCCGGAGCUCGGCUACGACACCGACCCCGAAACGAAGAGGACGAUCGACCGCGUGGCUGAGGUGGCCUUCCAGUGCCUGCAGAUGGAGAGGGAUCUGAGGCCGUCGAUCAAGGAGGUGGUGGAGAUCCUGACCUGCGUCAGGGACGGAGACUGUCGGGCUAAGAGCAUGAAGAAGAAGGCGUCUCAGAAAGAGGACGCGCACUUGCUCACGGAGGGCCUGCAGUUUUCGCCUGACUCGGUCAUCCAUAGAUUCCAUAGCCAGUCAACGAACCACUCGGUAGCGUCGAAUGCUAGCGGGUUAUGA
This 2094-nucleotide ribosomal RNA is filed under the name Triticum aestivum (bread wheat). Its description in RNAcentral is "partial small subunit ribosomal RNA". Lineage: Eukaryota; Viridiplantae; Streptophyta; Magnoliopsida; Poales; Poaceae. The record is from RNAcentral.